CUAAGGCCAACGGGAGAAGGGUUGUUAAGGAACUCGGCAAAUUGACCCCGUAACUUCGGGAGAAGGGGUGCUCCAGCGAUGGAGCCGCAGAGAAUCGGCCCAAGCAACUGUUUACCAAAAACACAGGUUUGUGCUAAAUCGAAAGAUGACGUAUACGAGCUGACGCCUGCCCGGUGCUGGAAGGUUAAGAGGAGAUGUGCAAGCAUUGAAUCGAAGCCCCAGUGAACGGCGGCCGUAACUAUAACGGUCCUAAGGUAGCGAAAUUCCUUGUCAGGUAAGUUCUGACCCGCAUGAAAGGCGUAAUGAUUUGGGCACUGUCUCAACAGCCCGCCCGGCGAAAUUGUAGUACCGGUGAAGAUGCCGGUUACCCGCGACAAGACGGAAAGACCCCAUGGAGCUUUACUGUAGCCUAAUAUUGGGUUUCGAUGUUGCAUGCACAGGAUAGAUGGGACACAGGGAAGCAGGUGCUUUGGCGCUUGUGGAGUGGCCGUUGGGAUACCAUCCUUGCGAUAUUGGAAUUCUAACCUGCGCCUUUGAAUCAAGGCGGGGGACAUUGUUAGGUGGGCAGUUUGACUGGGGCGGUCGCCUCCUAAAGAGUAACGGAGGCGUUCAAAGGUUCGCUCAGCUUGAACGGAAAUCAAGCAAAAGAGUGCAAACGCAGAAGCGAGCCUAACUGCGAGACUGACGGGUCGAGCAGUAACGAAAGUUGGAGUUAGUGAUCCGGUGGUAUGUGAGUGGAAAUGCCAUCGCUCAACGGAUAAAAGUUACCCUGGGGAUAACAGGCUGAUCUCCCCCAAGAGUCCACAUCGACGGGGAGGUUUGGCACCUCGAUGUCGGCUCAUCGCAUCCUGGGGCUGUAUUCGGUCCCAAGGGUUUGGCUGUUCGCCAAUUAAAGCGGUACGCGAGCUGGGUUCAGAACGUCGUGAGACAGUUCGGUCCCUAUCUGUCGUGGGCGCAGGAUAUUUGAUGGGAGCUGUUCCUAGUACGAGAGGACCGGAGCGGACGUACCUCUGGCGCACCAGUUGUUCUGCCAAGAGCAUAGCUGGGCAACUAUGUACGGAUCGGAUAAACGCUGAAAGCAUCUAAGCGUGAAGCCGACCCAAAGAUAAGAUAUCCCAUUGUUUCAAACAAGUAAGACCCCUUGAAGACUACAAGGUUGAUAGGCACGAUGUGUAAGUGGAGCGAUCCAUUCAGCAAGCGUGUACUAAUAGGUCGAGGGCUUGACCAC
RNAcentral lists this ribosomal RNA (1228 nucleotides) under human gut metagenome. RNAcentral's name for it is "bacterial LSU rRNA". It matches the Rfam family "Bacterial large subunit ribosomal RNA", at positions 1681 to 2925 of the family's 2925-position model. The record is from RNAcentral.